UAGGGAAUCUUCGGCAAUGGACGAAAGUCUGACCGAGCAACGUCGCGUGAGUGAAGAAGGUUUUCGGAUCGUAAAACUCUGUUGUUAGAGAAGAACAAGGACGUUAGUAACUGAACGUCCCCUGACGGUAUCUAACCAGAAAGCCACGGCUAACUACGUGCCAGCAGCCGCGGUAAUACGUAGGUGGCAAGCGUUGUCCGGAUUUAUUGGGCGUAAAGCGAGCGCAGGCGGUUUCUUAAGUCUGAUGUGAAAGCCCCCGGCUCAACCGGGGAGGGUCCUUGGAAACUGAGAGACUUGAGUGCAGAAGAGGAGAGUGGAAUUACAUGUGUAGCGGUGAAAUGAGUAGAUAUAUGGAGGAACACCAGUGGCGAAGGCGGCACUCUGGUCUGUAACUGACGCUGAGGCUCGAAAGCGUGGGGAGCAAACAGG
Molecule: ribosomal RNA, 429 nt
Filed under: Chloroflexota bacterium
Lineage: Bacteria; Bacillati; Chloroflexota
Description: Chloroflexi bacterium partial 16S ribosomal RNA
Rfam family: Bacterial small subunit ribosomal RNA
Source: RNAcentral